UCAAAAACAUCGCCUCUUGCAAAACUGAAGUAUAAGAGGUCCCGCCUGCCCAGUGACACCCAGUUCAACGGCCGCGGUAUUUUGACCGUGCAAAGGUAGCGUAAUCACUUGUCUCUUAAAUGGAGACCUGUAUGAAUGGCAUAACGAGGGCUUAACUGUCUCCUCUCUCAAGUCAAUGAAGUUGAUCUCCCCGUGCAGAAGCGGGGAUAUUCACAUAAGACGAGAAGACCCUAUGGAGCUUGAGACGAUAGGGCAGCCCAUGUUAAGUACCCCCCUCACCGGACCAAACUAAAUGACCCCUGCUCUAAUGUCUUCGGUUGGGGCGACCCUGGGGAAUACAAAACCCCCAUGUGGAAUAGGAGCACCCCCCCCUUAACUCCUCCAAAUGAGAGCCACACCUCCAAUUAACAGAACUUUUGACCAAAAAUGAUCCGGCAAAGCCGAUCAACGGACCAAGUUACCCUAGGGAUAACAGCGCAAUCCCCUUUUAGAGCCCUUAUCGACAAGGGGGUUUACGACCUCGAUGUUGGAUCAGGACAUCCUAAUGGUGCAGCCGCUAUUAAGGGUUCGUUUGUUCAACGAUUAAAGUCCUACGUGAUCUGAGU
RNAcentral lists this ribosomal RNA (605 nucleotides) under Scophthalmus maeoticus. RNAcentral's name for it is "partial 16S ribosomal RNA". It matches the Rfam family "Bacterial large subunit ribosomal RNA", at positions 1807 to 2610 of the family's 2925-position model. The record is from RNAcentral. Lineage: Eukaryota; Metazoa; Chordata; Actinopteri; Pleuronectiformes; Scophthalmidae.